Molecule: non-coding RNA, 30 nt
Filed under: Mus musculus (house mouse)
Lineage: Eukaryota; Metazoa; Chordata; Mammalia; Rodentia; Muridae
Source: RNAcentral
UCCACUUUCUAAGGGUUGGCCUGAAGACCU